GACGAACGCUGGCGGCGUGCUUAACACAUGCAAGUCGAACGAAGAGCGAUGGAAGCUUGCUUCUAUCAAUCUUAGUGGCGAACGGGUGAGUAACGCGUAAUCAACCUGCCCUUCAGAGGGGGACAACAGUUGGAAACGACUGCUAAUACCGCAUACGAUCUAACCUUGGCAUCGAGGAUGGAUGAAAGGUGGCCUCUAUUUAUAAGCUAUCACUGAAGGAGGGGAUUGCGUCUGAUUAGCUAGUUGGAGGGGUAACGGCCCACCAAGGCGAUGAUCAGUAGCCGGUCUGAGAGGAUGAACGGCCACAUUGGGACUGAGACACGGCCCAGACUCCUACGGGAGGCAGCAGUGGGGAAUCUUCCGCAAUGGACGAAAGUCUGACGGAGCAACGCCGCGUGAGUGAUGACGGCCUUCGGGUUGUAAAGCUCUGUUAAUCGGGACGAAAGGCCUUCUUGCGAACAGUUAGGAGGAUUGACGGUACCGGAAUAGAAAGCCACGGCUAA
Molecule: ribosomal RNA, 503 nt
Filed under: Veillonella dispar
Lineage: Bacteria; Bacillati; Bacillota; Negativicutes; Veillonellales; Veillonellaceae
Description: bacterial SSU rRNA
Rfam family: Bacterial small subunit ribosomal RNA
Source: RNAcentral